Molecule: transfer RNA, 72 nt
Filed under: Clostridiales bacterium
Lineage: Bacteria; Bacillati; Bacillota; Clostridia; Eubacteriales
Description: tRNA-Ala
Rfam family: tRNA
About the family: Transfer RNA (tRNA) molecules are approximately 80 nucleotides in length. Their secondary structure includes four short double-helical elements and three loops (D, anti-codon, and T loops). Further hydrogen bonds mediate the characteristic L-shaped molecular structure. tRNAs have two regions of fundamental functional importance: the anti-codon, which is responsible for specific mRNA codon recognition, and the 3' end, to which the tRNAs corresponding amino acid is attached (by aminoacyl-tRNA synthetases). tRNAs cope with the degeneracy of the genetic code in two manners: having more than one tRNA (with a specific anti-codon) for a particular amino acid; and 'wobble' base-pairing, i.e. permitting non-standard base-pairing at the 3rd anti-codon position.
Source: RNAcentral
GGGGCUGUGGCUCAGUGGGAGAGCGUUCGGUUCGCAUCCGAAAGGUCGAGGGUUCGAAUCCCUUCAGCUCCA